GAUGAACGCUGGCGGCGUGCCUAAUACAUGCAAGUCGAGCGAACAGACGAGGAGCUUGCUCCUCUGACGUUAGCGGCGGACGGGUGAGUAACACGUGGAUAACCUACCUAUAAGACUGGGAUAACUUCGGGAAACCGGAGCUAAUACCGGAUAACAUGUUGAACCGCAUGGUUCAACAGUGAAGGACGGUUUUGCUGUCACUUAUAGAUGGAUCCGCGCCGCAUUAGCUAGUUGGUAAGGUAACGGCUUACCAAGGCAACGAUGCGUAGCCGACCUGAGAGGGUGAUCGGCCACACUGGAACUGAGACACGGUCCAGACUCCUACGGGAGGCAGCAGUAGGGAAUCUUCCGCAAUGGGCGAAAGCCUGACGGAGCAACGCCGCGUGAGUGAAGAAGGUCUUCGGAUCGUAAAACUCUGUUAUUAGGGAAGAACAAAUGUGUAAGUAACUAUGCACGUCUUGACGGUACCUAAUCAGAAAGCCACGGCUAACUACGUG
Molecule: ribosomal RNA, 497 nt
Filed under: uncultured bacterium
Lineage: Bacteria
Description: partial 16S ribosomal RNA
Rfam family: Bacterial small subunit ribosomal RNA
Source: RNAcentral